CUCCACUCUGCAAUGAGAAAACUGAUGCCCAGACAAGGGGAGGUGACUUGCCGUGUUCAUACAGAGUUGCUGGUAGAGUUGGUGGACCAGGGAUUCCUGACCGCCAGAGGUUCCAACCUGUUUGGCCCCAGCUGGCAUGAACUAGGUUCAGAGCUUUGUUGCUGAUCAGUUCCCCUGGGGCGAGCUGGAGAACGGGGCUGGUGACAGAUGAUUGUGCCUAACUCACACGGGUUCCACACCAGACCGGCAGGGCUCCUGACCAGCAAUGGCGCUUUUCCACAGAAGAUUCUCCAGUUGAGAACGGUCUUCUCAAAUUCUGAAGUCGGGCAAAGGAUUGAAACAGCAUUCCUACGAAGAGGGGCAGAGCCAGGAACCUGGGGACUUAGAAGUCAAUAAAGCAG
RNAcentral lists this long non-coding RNA (401 nucleotides) under Equus caballus (horse). RNAcentral describes it as "lncRNA (ENSECAG00000047888.1)". Lineage: Eukaryota; Metazoa; Chordata; Mammalia; Perissodactyla; Equidae. The record is from RNAcentral.